CCUACGGGAGGCUGCAGUGGGGAAUAUUGCACAAUGGGCGCAAGCCUGAUGCAGCCAUGCCGCGUGUGUGAAGAAGGCCUUCGGGUUGUAAAGCACUUUCAGCGGGGAGGAAGGCGGUGAGGUUAAUAACCUCAUCGAUUGACGUUACCCGCAGAAGAAACACCGGCUAACUCCGUGCCAGCAGCCGCGGUAAUACGGAGGGUGCAAGCGUUAAUCGGAAUUACUGGGCGUAAAGCGCACGCAGGCGGUCUGUCAAGUCGGAUGUGAAAUCCCCGGGCUCAACCUGGGAACUGCAUUCGAAACUGGCAGGCUAGAGUCUUGUAGAGGGGGGUAGAAUUCCAGGUGUAGCGGUGAAAUGCGUAGAGAUCUGGAGGAAUACCGGUGGCGAAGGCGGCCCCCUGGACAAAGACUGACGCUCAGGUGCGAAAGCGUGGGGAGCAAACAGGAUUAGAUACCCGGGUAGUC
Molecule: ribosomal RNA, 465 nt
Filed under: uncultured Klebsiella sp.
Lineage: Bacteria; Pseudomonadati; Pseudomonadota; Gammaproteobacteria; Enterobacterales; Enterobacteriaceae
Description: bacterial SSU rRNA
Rfam family: Bacterial small subunit ribosomal RNA
Source: RNAcentral